This 439-nucleotide ribosomal RNA is filed under the name uncultured bacterium. Its description in RNAcentral is "partial 16S ribosomal RNA". It matches the Rfam family "Bacterial small subunit ribosomal RNA", at positions 338 to 795 of the family's 1533-position model. The record is from RNAcentral.
CCUACGGGGGGCAGCAGUGGGGAAUAUUGCACAAUGGGGGGAACCCUGAUGCAGCAAUGCCGCGUGGGUGAAGAAGCACUCCGGUGCGUAAAGCCCUGUCAGCAGGGAAGAAAAUGACAGUACCUGGACAAGAAGCCCCGGCUAACUACGUGCCAGCAGCCGCGGUAAUACGUAGGGGGCAAGCGUUAUCCGGAUUUACUGGGGGAAAAGGGUGCGCGGGCGGUCUGUUAAGGCAGCGGUCAAAGCCCGGGGCUAAACCCCGGCCCGCCGUUGAAACUGGCAGUCUCGAGUUGGAGAGAAGUAUGCGGAAUGCGUGGUGUAGCGGUGAAAUGCAUAGAGAUCGCGCAGAACUCCGAUUGCGAAGGCAGCAUGCCGGCUCCACACUGACGCUGAGGCACGAAAGCGUGGGUAUCGAACAGGAUUAGAUACCCGUGUAGUC